GGGCUUUUCGCGUAGCUCAGCCUGGUAGAGCACUGCCUUCACACGGCAGGGGUCACUGGUUCAAUCCCAGUCGCGCCCACCA
RNAcentral lists this transfer RNA (82 nucleotides) under Gammaproteobacteria bacterium. RNAcentral's name for it is "tRNA-Val". The stretch from base 9 to 75 matches the Rfam family "tRNA". Rfam says of the family: Transfer RNA (tRNA) molecules are approximately 80 nucleotides in length. Their secondary structure includes four short double-helical elements and three loops (D, anti-codon, and T loops). Further hydrogen bonds mediate the characteristic L-shaped molecular structure. tRNAs have two regions of fundamental functional importance: the anti-codon, which is responsible for specific mRNA codon recognition, and the 3' end, to which the tRNAs corresponding amino acid is attached (by aminoacyl-tRNA synthetases). tRNAs cope with the degeneracy of the genetic code in two manners: having more than one tRNA (with a specific anti-codon) for a particular amino acid; and 'wobble' base-pairing, i.e. permitting non-standard base-pairing at the 3rd anti-codon position. Lineage: Bacteria; Pseudomonadati; Pseudomonadota; Gammaproteobacteria. The record is from RNAcentral.